This is a long non-coding RNA of Stegodyphus dumicola, 1662 nucleotides long. RefSeq lists it as uncharacterized. The record is from RefSeq and is a predicted model, not a curated record. Lineage: Eukaryota; Metazoa; Arthropoda; Arachnida; Araneae; Eresidae.
GUAAAAUUGUAGCGUAAGUGUGAAAGGAAAAAAUUCGAAGGAGAAGUAUGAAAGGUGUCACCAUGGAAGAAUGGAAAAGAUAUGAAAAAUUGCGAAGGACGUUCUGCAGAGAAAAUCAAGGUAACAGAAGAAACAUUCUAAAAAUGUUCCUAGGAAUGUUCGAAGCGUUGGUGAAAGUGUGAGUGUUCUGAGAUUUUUUUCGUUUUUGCUCUAGUCACGAGGGAAGCAAUUGUGUUUAUGAAAAUAAGAAUGUACGGAUAAAAGUAUAUCCACACCAAACCAAAAGGAUGUUUCAGAGCAGUCUCUCAGAAAUGUGCAUUUAGGUACGAAACCUCAUAACAGGCAAUAAUCAUACUGGAAAGCUACACACCCACAAAGACAGAAAACAAAUCACAAACGGUGAGUAUUUAUUAGACAAAGAAAAUUAUAUGUAACAGAAUUGUUUAAAGUGGAAACUUUUAAAGCAGAUGUUUGAAGUUUCUGUCUGCAGAUGCAAUACACACCUCUCAAAGACGACGGAUGGAUCGAUGAACUCUUUUGCAAAAAUUGUCGGUUGUAUCAACAACAACACUAUUUGCAAUUUGAGCCACUAGAUCUAUGAUCGAUUCGUCAAGGGUUUAAUACACUAGGCUUUUCAUACAUCCCCACGAAAGAUGCUUCAUCUUGAAAUAGCUUGAUAGGUGUAGUCCUAUGCUCUCCGCUGUAUAACCCGCGUCACAUUCUGGUUUGGCAAAGAAUGCAAAGGAAUAAUAGUAGGAGUGCUGCUGAAAUUAAAAAGACCCUAUGUUGCUGCUAUAUUAAAGCAGAAAACAAUACCACGGGGUGGAGGGGUAAGAAAAUGAAGUAAAAUAUCUAACUGCAAAAAGCCAUGAAAUCUUCACAGAGGCUGGACUGAAGAUGACUGAGGAUUCAUGCAAAGCUAUACUAAUUAGACUCUUCGUUACAAAGGAAAGUGGUUUGCUUUGGUUUGAAGAGUUCAUUUAGGAAACUCACAUGAGUAAACAUAAGUGAUUCAAGUAAGAUUAAGACGAAAAAGAAAGAAGCAAUUUAUCUUAUCAAUGAUCCAGUCCGGGAAGUAAAAAUAUCCCUUAGUAGCAAUUCUAUUUAACAGCAAAGAAGACGAACAAUCGAUGAGUCUCAUACUCGAACAUUCAGUGAAGAGAAAAGGAAGGUCUACAAAAACGAUGAUUUGUGGAAUAACUCAUCAAAACCUCGAUAUUUCGUGUAUUUUAAGAGCAGCAAAUAGCAAAGAGUGCGUGGGAACAAAGAGUCAAGGACUGCCAUAUCGAUGUGCCAAGAUCUCUCAAAAUAUUCUCGAAAAGCAUUUCAAUUGGAUACAAAUGCGAAGUUCUUCCGUUAAUUGUGCAGUCUCUGGAAUUAUAUAAAUCUUCGCAGAAUUGUAAGCCGGGAAAUAAGCGGACAUUUCGGAAAAUAAGCUGUUUACUUGAAGGAAAGAUUUGAAAGUUUCACAUAAUUAGCUGGUUUGAAGGAAUAUCAUAAAAAUGGGGGGAGAAAAUGUGUCUUCCCCAUGAAGCAAAGAUACGAGAUCCAUAUAAAAUUACAAUUAGUCUUCCGGAGAAGAAGUAAAAGAAAGUUUAUUUCAAAAAACUCAUAGAUCGCUCGCUUCCUGUAUUCGCCACCUUUUUAUUGCCAAGUCAGAAG